CCUACGGGUGGCAGCAGUGGGGAAUAUUGCACAAUGGGGGAAACCCUGAUGCAGCGACGCCGCGUGAGUGAAGAAGUAUCUCGGUACGUAAAGCUCUAUCAGCAGGGAAGCAAAUGACGGUACCUGACUAAGAAGCACCGGCUAACUACGUGCCAGCAGCCGCGGUAAUACGUCGGGGGCAAGCGUUAUCCGGAUUUACUGGGGGUAAAGGGAGCGUAGACGGCAGCACAAGUGUGGAGUGAAAUCCCGGGGCUUAACCCCGGAACUGCUUUGGAAACUGUGCGGCUGGAGUGCAGGAGGGGUAAGCGGAAUUCCUAGUGUAGCGGUGAAAUGCGUAGAUAUUAGGAGGAACACCGGUGGCGAAGGCGGCUGACUGGACUGUAACUGACGUUGAGGCUCGAAAGCGUGGGGAGCAAACAGGAUUAGAUACCCCUGUAGUC
RNAcentral lists this ribosomal RNA (440 nucleotides) under uncultured bacterium. RNAcentral describes it as "partial 16S ribosomal RNA". It matches the Rfam family "Bacterial small subunit ribosomal RNA", at positions 338 to 795 of the family's 1533-position model. The record is from RNAcentral.